This is an RNA transcript of Cercocebus atys (sooty mangabey), 1497 nucleotides long. RefSeq lists it as uncharacterized. The transcript has a single exon. NCBI's taxonomy places the organism in Eukaryota, Metazoa, Chordata, Mammalia, Primates, Cercopithecidae. The record is from RefSeq and is a predicted model, not a curated record.
GUUGCCUGGCUAGCUCCAAAACUGGUAUACAGGGACUUGGGACAACAUUCUGAAUGGAAGCCCGAAGGAAUUCAAAGUUAUGCUUAUAUAGGAGGAGAUGGCGUGCAAUUGCCCAGAGAAAUCCUUGCAGCUUCAACAGCCCUUCCCAAGAAGCCACCCCUUAGAACAGUUACCAAAAAUACGUAAAAUAUUUCCAGCUAUGAAGAAUUCUUUUAGGCGGCGCCGUGACGCGCCUCGGGAACGGUCCUCGGGCGCGCGCCGCUCUCUAACCCUCGGGCCUCAGAAGUCGGUGCCAGUGACUGGAGGCGGCGGCGGCGGCGAGCGGGUCCUUGUGGGCUACAAGAAUCCAGCAAAAAAGUCCCUCUAUCCAUCUCUUGAAGACUUGAAGGUAGACAUCGUAAGUCAGGCUCAAACUGCUUUUUCUGCAAACCCUGCCAACCCAGCAAUUUUGUCAGAAGCUGCUGCUCCUAUCUCUCAAGAUGGAAAUCUCUAUCCCAAACUAUAUCCGGAGCUCUCUCAAUACAUGGAUGAGUCUGACUUGAAAUGAAGAAGAAAUACGUGCAAAUGUGGUCGUGGUUUCUGGUGCAUCAAUUCAGAGGCAGUUGGUAGCAAGACCUUCCGGUAUGAUGUGCAUGGUGAUUCCUGUAACUGAUAAUGAUGCUGGAAUUCGGAAAGCAGAAAUUAAGCAAGGGAUUCGCGAAGUCAUUCUGUGUAAGGAUCAAGAUGGAAAAAUUGGACUCCGGCUCAGAUCAAUAGAUAAUGAUAUAUUUGUUCAGCUAAUCCAGGCUAAUUCUCCAGCCUCAUUGAUUGGUCUGAGAUUUGGGGACCAAGUAUUCCAGAUCAGUGGUGAAAACUGCAGGGUGGAGCUCUAAUAAAGCGCACAAGGUGCUCAAACAGGCUUUUGGAGAGAAGAUUACCACGACAUGACAAUUCGUGACAGGCCCUUUGAACGGAAGAUUACCAUGCAUAAGGAUAGCACUGGACAUGUUGGUUUUACCUUAAAAACGGAAAAAUAGGCUGGGCGUGGUUGCUCACGCCUGUAAUCUCAGCACUUUGGGAGGCCACGGCGGGUGGAUCACGAGGUCAGGAGUUCAAGACCAGCCUGACCAACAUGGUGAAACCCCCGUCUCUACUAAAAAUACAAAAAUUAGCCGGGCAUGGUGGCGGGAGCCUGUAAUCUCAGCUACUCAGGAGGCUGAGGCAGGAGAAUCGCUUAAACCCGGAAGGCGGAGUUUGCAGUGACUGGAGAUCAGGCCACUGCACUGCACUCCAGCCUGGGCAACAGAGUGAGACUGCGUCUCAAAAAAAAAAAAAAAAAAAAUUAGUUGAGCAUGGUGGCAGGCGCCUGGCUACUUGGGAGGCUGAGGCAGGAGAAUCGCUUGAACCUGAGAGGUGGAGGUUGCAGUGAGCCCAGAUCUCACCAUUGCACUCCUGCCUGGGUGAAAAGAGCAAGACUCCGUCUCAAAAAAAAAAAAAAAAAAGAAAAAAAAAAGAAAA